CUCAGGAACUUUAAGCAUGUUUCCAUUGCAAGAACAUUUUCUAGGAACAUUAGAUGUAUUUCCAAUUUUGGAACGUUUUAAGCAAAUUAGGUGCAUUUUCAGGAACUACGGAACUUUAGGCAUGUUUCCGCCGCAGAAACCUUUUUCAGGAGGAGCAUUCAAUAAGCAUUUUAGAUGUGUUUUCUCUGCAUGAACUUUUUCAAAAAUUUAGAUACGUUUCCAGUGCAUUAACUUUUUCAGGAACAACGUAAGGAGCUUAGUUUCUUUUUCAGGAAUUUAGCUGCUUUUUCAAUUUUUUCAGGAACUUAAGGCAAGUUUCCACUGCAGGAACUGUUUUGUUAACUUAUAAAACAUUAGAUGUGGUGUUGUGUUUUUUUUAACUGCAGGAACAACAUGGUUCUUAACGGACUCUACUUCGAGAACCCCUGGACUUUUCUUAUUUCUUACGUAAUAAGAUCAUGCUAGUCAGAAAUGUUCGAUCUUCAGCGGGCUCUGUUUGAGUCGGGAGACAAGGAGAGAUAGAAGGAAAAAAAAAGAAGUGUGGCUUCACCGUGCCUUAAUUGGUCAGGAAACAAAAGCACCUGGAAGAUUUUGAUGAGCCCGUAUCUGUUCUCUGUAUUCCAAUAGAGAGACAGAUUCAUUUCUAGACUGUUAGAAGAGAGAAGGAUAAGGAGAGAGAGAGAGAGAGAGAGAGAGAAUGAGAAAAGAGAGAGAGAAAGGUUUUCCCACACAGGGACUGCAACAGCGCAGCUCAUUCCCAUCCAUCUCACUGUUUCACGGGCUGGAAAUCCCCUGCACAAAGAGGCCAAAUUUAAUCCUGCACCUCUGCAGGCGCGGGAGGCUCCCCUGGCCAACAUCCAUACGAGAGGCACUUUUGUCUCGGAAGCCUUUAGGGAGCAAAGCAAUUGUUGCGGUCACGCAGCUCCUUUUUUUUCUUAAACCCAAGUUCAGUGUGUAACUUGUUUGAUUAGGAAGAAACAUAAACUCACGUUUGCUCUCGAUUUCUUUUCUUUGUACGCGUUUCCGUCGUGCACUCACUGGAUUGAGGGUAUCAGAGUUUGGGAACACAGAGCGUGUUGAGCAGAUUUAGGAGAAGCUGAUAAUCUUGUAACCUGAAUAGCCGUUUUCUUCUCAACCAUUGUUUGCAUCAAAUUGCGCAGUCAAGCAGUCGCUGUCCCAGACGUACAGAACGAGAUUCAACCGUCCUGGAGAAAUAUGAUCACUACUGGCUCACUUCCUGCCAUAAAAGUAACACUGAUUCCAUGCACUUGUCACGCAUUUUCCAUUACGACUCUUUCUUUUGACCAUCUUGAGCUUUUUUUUUUUUUUGGUAACAGUCUCUUCAAUUGAAUGCGACUUUGAAGCAAUGAAAGAAUGAUGGACUUUUGUGAGUGUUGUCAUCUUUCCUGUACAUUUCAGCCGAGACAACUUCUGCUAAUUGAUUUAUACAAUGUUUCCUCUUGCCCCAAAAUAUCUUCUGUGUCUAAACUUCUUAAAACUCUUUACUUUUGCGCAGGAGCUACAAAGCUAAAGUAGCUAACAAGUAAUGAAAUGAUCUCUCACCCCAAAUCCACUUGCAGGUCUUGGUUUAAGAUGCUGUGACUUGUCUUUUCACGCGAACAAAACUGCACCAUGCAUCUGAACGCUGUAAUGUUACACGGGUGGUCAUCUUAGAAACUAUUUUCUUAGUACAAUUUAUCAUUCCACCCCCCAGGCCACGCCUUCCAAAGUUAUUGUUUUUUUUUUUGGUUUUUUUUUUGCAACUACUGAUUUGCUAACUAUGGAAGCCCAUUUCCGCCAUGGAGAAUUUUUUUUUUUAAAAGGUUGAAAUUGCGACUUUAUAUCUCAGAAUUGAGACGUUAUGUCUUACAAUUGCGACUUUAUACCUCACAAUUCUGACUUUUUUUCUUUCAACUUGGACAUCCACCUGACAGUUCGUGAGAAAUAAUGUCAAAAUCGUGCAAUAUGAACUUGAAUUGUGAGAUUUAAAUAAAUUCAUUAAUUGAGGUUAACUCAAAAUUGUGAGACAAAUAGUCAGAAAUAAAGUUGCAUUUCUGAGAUAUAAAGCCACUUUUAUCAUUUAAAAAUUUUUGCCCCGUUGAACGGGUUUCCAUAGCUAGACCUAAUAGCAAGAUUCGGAAAAUCUCUUAAUGCGUAGUACAAAAUGUAUUGCUCAAUUCAGAUUGGUCCGAAAGAUUUAAUUAAUUUUCCAUAACAGCAGCUUUGACAGUAGUGUCAUCCAUUAGGCAAAUCACAGGUUUGUAUUAAUGCGCUCGCUCUAAUAUUGCUUAUCUGAUAUCAUUAUUGUUUCCACGGUUACGACUUACACACGGCGGUCUCAACACAUGAACGGAUUUAAAAGCGUUUUUAACAAAGCAAAAAAAGUAUAAUUGUUUAUACAGCGAAGUUUUCUGUAAGGAGAUGCUUAUUUAACAUUUAACAUUGAUGUACGGAGUCUCCAGUGCAAGCGCCCUGUAACGGUCACCAUUCCGAAUGUAUGCUUUACAGUCUCUCCAUAACAUGACAAGCUGUUUUUAUUUAUUUUUUUAUUAUUAACUUAUUAACUUCAAGAGAGCAAAAAACGACACGUCCUUUAAUAAAUAAAAUGUUGGCAAAUUGCUGCGGUAUAAGAGGAAUAAAACACUUUAGGAAGUGCUAAAACUGUGGUAAAAUGCAUCACACCAUUAUUAAUUAUUUUCCUGUCACAUCUUGUCGUGUUUUAUUCCUUACAAACCACAUCAUGUACUUCUUUUUCCUCGUGAUCCUCUCCGGAGAGAUAUGCAGUAAUAUGUGCUAUAAACAUUGAGACUUCUGGGCUUCAUUGCUAAUGGUUCUGAACUAAGCUUAUUUAUCUAGAAUUAUGAUGUUUUUUAUAUUAUUAUUAUUAUUAUUAUUAUUAUUAUUUUAAUUAUGAGACUCAAAAUUUCUAAGCGCUACUCCUCCUAGAGCUUUCAAGCUACAUCCAGCAGACUCAGCACAGACCUUCAGACUGUUCUAACUCCUAAACUUUUCAAGCUAUAUCCACCAAACUCAGCACAGACCUUCAGACUGUUCUCUCUUUUCACGCGGUGGGGUUGUAUGGAUGUACAAUUUCUCUGUAUUGGAUGAUCAAACAUCUCCAAAAACUCCCAUAGACCUUACAUUGACAGAAUGUUUCACUGUAUCACUCUCUCACUCCUUCUGACUUUCUACUAAUAACACUCUCUCUCCAUCUGUCUACUUGUGUCACUCUCUCACUCCAUCUGGCUUUUCAGUUGUAUCCCCCUAUUUGCCAUCAAUGUAUCUUUGUACCAGUAACUGCCUUUCUUUCUGUCUGCCUGUCACCGUUCGUUCUUUCUUUCUUUCUUUCUUUCUGUCUUUCAUUCUUUCUUUCAACUUGAAACUAUCUACAAGCUUAUGAAACAGUUUCAAACUUCCAGACUGGCUUUAUCACGAUGAACUUUACCUAUCAAGUUGGUGUAAGUCAUUUUUAAAAGUUUCAAGCGUGUUAGUGGUAACUUUUGAUGAAUCGUGUCGUUCCUGGGUUCUCCAUCAGCGGAGUGUUUGCUGUAGGCCCGUCUGAAACAGCCCGCCUCAGUCGCUGUGUGUUCCCUCCCAUCCCUCUCGGGGCCCAUGCAUAAUGAAGCUCUGUGUAGUGCUGUGGUUUUGAAUGCACAUCAGACAGCAUCUCUACGUACAGCUCCAUAUGCCCGGGGACGUCAUGCUCACCACAUCAUAUUUCCAGCCCUGAUGAGACGGGCUCCAGCCAAACGCGUACACAAACAAGCACUUCGAAACAACAAUUUAAAAAGUGGGAUCGUUGCCAUGGUGCAGGCUGUUUGAUUACGGAGGGGAAGUGAGUGUUUUUCUCAGAAUCGCUUUUGCCAGGCACCUCUUCAUGUGGUUUAGAGGUUUUUUUUUUUUUUUUUUUUUUUUUUUUUGUUAAUUUUUUUUUUAUACAUUUUUAAAGAUUUUUUAUGCCAACGACUAAGUGUUGAUGAGAUGUUUUUGAUGCCUGGAUUACAGUUCCCUUUAUCGUCAAACGUCUUUUAGUGAUCGAGGAUACUGUGAUUUGUUCAGUUGUGUUUAAUGGUCAUUACUUAUCAUUAACCACCAUGUGGUCUAAACGGAGUGGUUAGUGCUCAGGUUGUGGUCCAUUUGAAAUUAAUGAGUUAAACGGUGCAUUGUUGAAUUUGGCGCAAAAAAAACCCAACAAAAAUAAAUAAAUAAAUAAAUAAAAAUGCACAAUCAGGGCCACUGGGUAUCCCGCAAAAAACUCAUGUUUCUUUAGCGAUAGCGUUUCCAGACAUUCCUGCAAUUAUCAAAAGGCCGAACAAAGAAAUACUGCAAGAAAGAUUAUCCAGUUUGAUAAUUUUUUUUUGUUUGUUUGUUUCUUAACAGUUUGGACACAUCUUGAAUUCAUUUCAAUUUCUAAUGAAUUCAAGCAUGAAUAGAUUUUUAUGCGAUGCACAUCGUGUUUGUUCUGUUUCUGAAAUAACAUUAGGUUAAAGCAUCUAUAAUGUUUAUGGUACAAUUCUACUGUAGCAUAUGGGCUGAAAAAAAGAAUUGGACUGAUUUUUAUUGUAAUAAUCUUUCAGGUCGUGCCAACAGGUUGUAUGAUUUAUCAGUUAAAUUAUAUUUUAGUCACAUCUUAAACUUGGUAAGACCAGCGCAACGCUUGUUUUUCACUAAGUAUUAUCUUACUUUCAACAGCCGUGCAGGCCAUUAUGCAAAUGAUUAUUUUUGUGUGCAUUUGAGUAUGGUUUUUACUUCCUUUUCUGUGUUUAUUCGCCUGGGGCUCGAAAUUUUAGGGGAAUUCUGACUUGCUGGGUCUAUUUAAAGCACGCCUAUCAGCUCGUGCUGUUGUAUGGCCGUUUACUACUCAUGUGUGUCUCUGCAGUUGUUCUGUUGCCACAUCACCUGCUCGUGACCAACCGUGUUUCAAACGGGCCACCAGCAGCUGUGUGCCUGGCACCGACUGAACACCAGUCCGUUCCUCCAUCUGGUGUGUUGGUCUGUGGAUGAAGCCUUCACCUGCAGAUCGGAUGAACAGCGUCUUAGAAGAAGAAGAAGAAGAAGCCUACGUUCUAAACAGUACUAAACUGUACCACUCAUUGUUGCUUAGGUGCUACCUUUAUCUUUUGCACCUUUAAUGUGUCUUUCAGAUGGAAGUGUGGAUAUACUGUAGUGUAGCUUUAAAAAGGAUCUAAGGUACAUACAUGGACCGUAAUUUAGGGCUGAGCGAUAUGACAGUAUAGCGUUGAUAUUGUGACAAAGUACGUCACAGUGCACUUUUCUGAGAUAUCGUGGGUAUUGUGGUAUCUUUAAAUAACAAUUACAAACUCUGGAAGCAGAUUGGAUCAAGUUUUCAGUGAAUUUUAAAAAUGGUAAAAUUGUUUAUUUUGAUUAAAUAAAACUAUCAUGGGACUGUUUUUUAAAGGUUUAUUUUUCAACGCAACUCAGCAACAGUACUGCUUGCAAUUUGUAAUGAAACCUACACGUGUAUAUAUAUCAUGCAUAGACACUAUACUAAUAAUGCAUCGUUGAAGUGUCGAAACAUGAUAUUUCUAUUUUAAAGGGGUACUACAUGCAUCUUUCUAGGUUAGGGGUACAUAGUAAUGGAACUAAAGGUAAACGUUUUGGGUUCCCUUUUUUUCGGAGAGUGCACUGAGCUGUUAUAAAGUUGAUCCUAAAGCAGACAUUGAGAGGACUUUAAAUUGAGCACGGUGAAAAAUAUGCACCGUGGACACUUGUUGCACCAUCACCGGCCAAUCGGAUACACGAUCCCAUGUAAAUAGGAAGUGCUACGUCCAUGAUCGAGACAUAGGGAAGUGGUUAGCGUGUGCAAACUUCAUCUGCACUUGAAUAUGUUGAAUGUCAAAAUAAUGUGUAACCGUAAAUUGUUUGAUGCCAUUUUGCAAUGCUAGCUGAGUAAAUUACUUGUUAGUGUAUGUGUAGUUUAUCCCUUACAUUUGUACAGUAGGCGGCAGUGCAAGCAGUGUAUUUCAGCGACGUGACCAUGUCUGGUGGCUAAAGGACUCUGGUGGCUAAAAAAAUAGUUGGAGCGUAGAAUAGUCUUGUUUAUGGUAGAUGUUGCACCUGCUAUGGGGGAAGUGUAAGUUUUAAGUUAUAGCUUCAAAUAAUACGUUAAAACUGUGCUGUUGGUGCAGGCGUUUAUUUUUUAAUAGUCCGCAAACAUGAACCUAGUGAGCGAACUAGCUUACGUUAGAGAUGAACUACUUUACAGACAUGGACUCGGCUUUCCCUUCUCAGAUACAGCUGAUCACAUGAUGUGGCAAGACGUUACUGCUGUCUUCAGUGUUCUGUUGUGAAUUUCCACCAGAAUUCAUGGCUGCCGCUCUGAGCACUCUUCUGUGGUCGAGGCCGUGCAGAGUCAGGUGGCUUUUCUGAAUGCCCACAUGCGUCAGUUUGAAGGAAGCAGGACUAAGCCAGGCCUUGUGCACCAUACCCCCACAUCCCGCUGUAACCCUCGUCGGCCAGAUGCACGGCCGCCUCAUGCAUUUGAUACAAAACCCACUGGAAUCUUCUUUGAUAGCCGACAAGAAAUAUAGCAAGCCUGGGACAUGGGGCAGGAAGCCUGGGUGAAGGCAGGCCCUAUUUUGACUGAAGAGUCCCAUUGUGCAGAGAAAGGGAAUAGAGGGAGGACGCAGGGAGGAGAGAUUGGAUAGAUCUGAGGGUCCCUCUGUCCCUUUCCCUGGACGAGGCACAACGCAGCCACAGUGGACAAUAUGGCCUCCUGAGGGACUGCCGUUAUGUAAGCAGCUGCCUUGGCUUGCUGAUGCACUCUAUAGUAGGUCAGUGUGGCUUAAAUACCAAAGGGUCACUAGAGAGCUGUAUGGCCCAUUACAGGAGAUUUAUGGAACCAGUGUAGCUACUGGUAUGAUUAUUUAAAAGCGUUCUUAUUUCAGUAUGAUGGCUGUGUGUGCGCGUGUUUUUUUUUUUUUCCUCUUUCACUUUCAACACGUAGCUUUACAGUAAUUUUCAGCCACAGUUGCGUGUAACCCUUUCCCACUGUCGUCUCAGGGGAAUUCAUCAUUCAGGGGAAACUGCAAACCUGCAUUCAUCUCUCUCUUUCUCUCUCAUUCUUUCAUAAUCUGAGACUAUUUUUACCAAAGGGACUUGGUUCUACAGACUGAUAGACAGUGUCAGAAAUAGUUUAACGCUAUAAAUAUAGAGAGCAAGUGUCUCACUACUUUUUUGAAUCAAAUCAGGUUAAAUAAAGUGGAGCUUUCAAUAGACAUGAAUUCAAGGAUUGACACUCUUGUGCUCCCACAUACUGAAUACACUUCAUUGGGGAAGCUUCCUCAGUCAAGCAACUUCAGUCUUUAACUUUAAGCUUAUCCCUCAGCUGGAGGAAUAGAGGUAUAAAUAUAUACCACUGGGGCGGCACAGCGGAUUACAUUGUCACCUCACAGCUCCAGUGUCUCCGGUUCCACUCAGGUUACCGUCUACGCAGAGUUUUGCGUGUUCUCCCAGUGUUCACGUGGGUUUCUUCUGGGUUCUUUCUUCCCACCUCCUUAAAAAUACUGGUUUGUGGAUUAGCGUUUCUAAAUGACCCCUCAGUGUGAAUGAGUGUGUGUGUGUGUGUGUGUGUGUGUGUGAGUGAGUGAGUGAGUGAUGCCCUGCAAUGGACUGGUGUCCCAUUCAGGGUGUCUCCGCCCCAUGCCCGGUGUUCCUAAGACGACUCUGAGAAGGAUAAAGGGUUUACUGAAGGUGAAUGAAUAUUUUCAUAAUAUUUUUCAUAAAACGUGAUCACAAUCAACAUUUUAAAUCCGUGCAAAACUCAUGGUUGCUAGAUUGGACUAACACGAUCGUUUGACUACAUACCCUAGCAGAAUCACCAUCUUCAUCAUCAUCGUCAUAAAUAUCAUCAUCGACAUAAUUUUCCCUACACUUAACUAAAUUAUAAUCUGUUGGCACACAGCACACUGUCAUUCCAGAACAAUAGGAUUACAGAUUUUCCAACAUUUUUAUUGCUCUAGAGGAAUGUUUUACUUUGGUUUUCCCUGACAUGACCCAAGCUCCAGAUUUUUUCUUUAACAGAAAUUCUAGUUCUGUCGUAUGCUUUGUUGGAUAUUCUCCCCCUAGUGGUGGGAGGACUGAUUAUGUUGAUCAUGAACACAUUUUUAGAGUAGGGCUUAAUUUGGGGAUACCUUUAAGUAAAACGAAAAAGGACAACCCCCCUUCCAUUCUAAAACUAACGACCCCCACUCCCUCGUUGUCUAUAAUUUUAAUUUCAUGCAUAAAUCAGGGUUGCCAGGUUGGAUUAACUCUUUUCGUUCCAGUCACAGUUUAAAAAACUCCCACUGCAAAGUGAGGCCAGAUAGCUCUUGGCACGAGGUUUCCUUUCAGAACAAUCAUAUCCAAAGUGUCUUGCUUGGUUUUCCCUAACAUUCCCCAAGAUCCAGAUUAUUUUCUUUUUACAGAGACACUAAGGGUGUUUUCACAUUUGACCCAAAUAAUACCCAGGACUGAUUCUAGGCUCGUUUGGGGGCGGGGUUCAGAGUAACAGGUUUGCUUUGACAUAGAAGAAUUCUUUCUGAAUAGUGGAUUUGUUGUGCAAUUCCAUACGUCACUUUUGUGCAUGUAGGUUUUGUAAAAUGGUAGGCACAAGGUUUGUUGAUUUGCUGUUUUGUUUUUUUCCCUUUGGUAUCAACACUCAAGCGGCGAAGAACAGCGGUCUUUAGAUGUACGGCAUGCUAUUGAGUCAAACGAGGAGAAGAUUUUAAACCAUGCAGGCAUUUUUGUCUCUUCUGCUGACCAUAACAACCCUUUCCCCACCAUCACCAAACUUGAAACAGGAAGUAGCCUAAGUUGUUGAAGUUGAACCAAUCACAUUGUUCAGCAUGCAGCACCAGAAGUGAGCCCCAUACCACCAUUUUGAAUAGGACCAGUGAUCGAUACUUUGGACUGCUAACAGCCUUGAAAACAGCAUCUAUAAGAGACCAAAUGUACUGAACUCAAGUGGCCCAGUGCCUACAAAAAAAACAAACAAACAAAAAGAAACCACAUGCCCCCUAGUGGUGGGAAGACUCAUUAUGCUCAUUAGUUUACAUUAAAGUGCACCUCUUAUGGUUUUUCACAUAUUACCUUUCAUGUAGUGUGUUAUAGAGCUGUUUGUGAAUGUAAAAAGUCUUUUGAAAUGCAAAGUUUAAAAAAUCAAAGUGGACGACAAAUGGAAUUAUUGACUCCCAAAAGAAGGAAUCGAUUCUGAACAGCUGAAACAAGUCCUUAGAAAUUCAACAUUUACUUCCUGUACUAACCUACGUAGGUUUGUAACAAAAAGCCCCGCCUCUGGUAUUCUUUUUUUUUUUUUAUGGUAGUGGGCGUUUCCUUUUCGACACACGCUGACAACUGUAGACCAAUCAAAACAGACUGAGACAUCUGACCAAUCAGAGCAGAGUAUGUUCUCGGAAAGUAAGAGUUUAAAAUCAAUCCUUUAGGAUGGAUCAUUUUAAGAGUCAUUUGUGACACUGGGGGGAAAAAAGGGAAUACCAUAAUUUAAAUUAUGAGCACAUUAAAGUGUUUUUUGAACUUGGAUGCAUGUAAAUCUAUUGUACGAGAUUUACAACAAAAAAUUAGGCACGUUUCAAAACCAUAAUAGGUGUGCUUCAAAACUAUUGGUACAAAUCUAACGGAUUAUAAUGAAUUUUUUGUGAUGUAAAACAUAUAUACAAUGAUAAAGCAUAGCACCUGCUGUCAUGGAGACAAUCAGAACGGCUUGUGUUUUCAUGUUUGGACAAGGAAGAAGAGCAAAAAAUGCACCUGGGUCGAUGGAGAGGGGAAACGCAAACAGCUGUCCAAAACAAGGGCAAAGUGUUAGUGCAGAGGGAGCGUUAAAAGACAGGGCUUUCAGCGAGGGAGUGAGAGAGGUGGAGGGAUGAGAUGAAGAGAGCAGGAGUGGUAUGCGGUUGGAAGAUAUCCUUGGGAAAGUUUGCAUCUCUUACACUAUCUGGAGCUCAGCUGGGGACAAAUACCACACAGCAUCGAGAGGAAGGCCGCUCUAGCACCAGAACCCUCACGCUGGAAUGUUUCACUCCAAAUAGCAACUGCUCGUCGCUGUUAUCUUUUUCUUCCUCUCCUCCUCCUGUUCUCCCAUCAACCCUGCUGCAAUGUGUAACCGUUGGAAUGAGAAGAACAACCGAUUCUGCAUGAAUGCUCAAAAAUAAAUAUCAUAAACAGCCAUGAUACUGAUCAUCAAAUUUAAAUUGGCCACUGGAGCAUUUAUUCAACAAUUGUGGCGUUCAUGAAAAUCUUGGGUUAUUGCAAAUACAUAUACAGGUUAUGCUGUAUAGUUUAAAUCACUUUUUUUUUUAAUCAAUUACACACCGAUUUCAUAAACAUUUUGUGGAACUACUUUUUAAAGGAAUUCAAAGCAAAUCCAUAAAUUAAGAUAAAUCCAUUUAUUUAGGCUUGUUUGCUGAUGGUUGGUGUUUAUUUAGUUUAGGCUUGUUGGCUGAUGGUUGGUGUUUAUUUAGUUUAGGCUUGUUUACUGAUGGUUGGUGUUUAUUUAGUUUAGGCUUGUUGGCUGAUGGUUGGUGUUUAUUUAGUUUAGGCUUGUUGGCUGAUGGUUGGUGUUUAUUAAUUUAGGCUUGUUUGCUGAUGGUUGGUGUUUAUUUAGUUUAGGCUUGUUUACUGAUGGUUGGUGUUUAUUUAGUUUAGGCUUGUUUACUGAUGGUUGGUGUUUAUUUAGUUUAGGCUUGUUUGCUGAUGGUUGGUGUUUAUUAAUUUAGGCUUGUUUACUGAUGGUUGGUGUUUAUUUAGUUUAGGCUUGUUUGCUGAUGGUUGGUGUUUAUUAAUUUAGGCUUGUUUACUGAUGGUUGGUGUUUAUUUAGUUUAGGCUUGUUUGCUGAUGGUUGGUGUUUAUUUAGGUCGAUUUUGUUUGCUGCUGUUUAAUAUUUAUUUAGUUUCUUUUUGUUUGCUGAUGGUUUUUUAACAUUUAUUUAGAUAUGUUUGUGGAUGUUUGGUGCUUAUUUACUUUGGUUUUGUUUGCUGUUGUUUGAAUUUUAGGUGUUUGUUUAGCUUUGUUUUAUUUGCUGAUUGUAUUUUUUUUUUUGAUUGAGUUUGGUGUAAAUUGUGGUUGGUGUUUAUUUAGGUUGGUUUUAUUAUUAUUUGCUGCCUUUAAUAUUCGUUUAGUUUGCAUUUAUUUGCUGAUGGUUGGUGUUUAUUUUGUUCGUUUUUUGGCUGCUGUUUGUGUACAGUAAUGUUAUUUGCUUUCAUUUUCUUUGCUUUUUUGUGUUUAUUAUUUUUGUUUGCCUCAGGGUUUAUGUAUAUUCAGUUUGGUUUUGUUUGUGUCAUUGUUAUUGUUUAUUUUGUUUGGUUUUGUUUGCUGCUAACCAAUAUUGAUUUAGUUAUGUUUGUUGGUGGUAUUUUAAUGUGAAUGUAGUUUUGUUUGCCUCAGGGUUGAUGUAUAUUCAGUUUUGUUUUGUUUGUGUCAUUGUUAGUGUUUAUUUAGUUUGCUUUUGUUUGUUGAUGG
Molecule: long non-coding RNA, 11476 nt
Organism: Ictalurus punctatus (channel catfish)
Lineage: Eukaryota; Metazoa; Chordata; Actinopteri; Siluriformes; Ictaluridae
Source: Ensembl